GUCAGAGGUGGAAGUGCAGUAAUGCAUGUAGCUGACUGAUACUAAUAGGUCGAGGGCUUGACCAAG
This 66-nucleotide ribosomal RNA is filed under the name Eshraghiella crossota. Its description in RNAcentral is "Butyrivibrio crossotus partial 23S ribosomal RNA". The record is from RNAcentral. Lineage: Bacteria; Bacillati; Bacillota; Clostridia; Lachnospirales; Lachnospiraceae.